AUACAAACAGGGAUUCGUAAACAAAAAGGGGAAUUCGUAGUCACUUUUUCCUGUCACGUAAAAAAACUUUAUGCGAGAGCAAUAGAGGUUGUGAUACAUCUAUCUCUUCUCAGCAACCUCUUUUGGAUUCUUAAGACCACUCUUGUAGUAGGCUACCAUCUGCUUUGGGUUCUUUAUUAUCUACUUCAAGGGAUUUUUAGGAUCGUUCAGGCUAUAUAUAUUUAG
This 225-nucleotide ribosomal RNA is filed under the name Triticum aestivum (bread wheat). RNAcentral's name for it is "partial small subunit ribosomal RNA". The record is from RNAcentral. Lineage: Eukaryota; Viridiplantae; Streptophyta; Magnoliopsida; Poales; Poaceae.